This 100-nucleotide small nuclear RNA is filed under the name Callithrix jacchus (white-tufted-ear marmoset). Lineage: Eukaryota; Metazoa; Chordata; Mammalia; Primates; Cebidae. The record is from RNAcentral.
GCUUGCUUCAGUAGCGCAUAUACUAAAGUUGGAACAAGAGAGAUUGGCAUGGCCUCUGUGCAAGAAUGACGUGCAAAUUUGUGAAGUGUUCCGUAUGUUU